UACGAAGGGUGCAAGCGUUACUCGGAAUUACUGGGCGUAAAGCGUGCGUAGGUGGUUUGUUAAGUCUGAUGUGAAAGCCCUGGGCUCAACCUGGGAAUUGCAUUGGAUACUGGCAGGCUAGAGUGCGGUAGAGGGUAGUGGAAUUCCCGGUGCAGCAGUGAAAUGCGUAGAGAUCGGGAGGAACAUCUGUGGCGAAGGCGACUACCUGGACCAGCACUGACACUGAGGCACGAAAGCGUGGGGAGCAAACAGG
This 253-nucleotide ribosomal RNA is filed under the name uncultured bacterium. RNAcentral describes it as "partial 16S ribosomal RNA". It matches the Rfam family "Bacterial small subunit ribosomal RNA", at positions 524 to 776 of the family's 1533-position model. The record is from RNAcentral.